RNAcentral lists this non-coding RNA (76 nucleotides) under Proteiniclasticum ruminis. Its description in RNAcentral is "Fluoride sequence". It matches the Rfam family "Fluoride riboswitch aptamer (crcB RNA motif)". The record is from Rfam by way of RNAcentral. Lineage: Bacteria; Bacillati; Bacillota; Clostridia; Eubacteriales; Clostridiaceae.
UAGACUUCUGGAAAUGAAGUGCUUCCAUGGCAAAAACUGCCAAAACCGCAAGUAUGCUGAUGACUUCUACGACGAA